GUCUAUGGCCAUAUCACCAUGAACGCGCGAGAUCUCCUUGGAUCUCGGAAGCUAAGCAGGGUCGGGUCUGGUGAGUACCUGGAUGGAGACUGCCUGGGAAUACCCGGUGCUGUAGGCU
Molecule: ribosomal RNA, 118 nt
Filed under: Nannospalax galili (Upper Galilee mountains blind mole rat)
Lineage: Eukaryota; Metazoa; Chordata; Mammalia; Rodentia; Spalacidae
Source: RNAcentral